RNAcentral lists this ribosomal RNA (339 nucleotides) under uncultured bacterium. Its description in RNAcentral is "bacterial SSU rRNA". It matches the Rfam family "Bacterial small subunit ribosomal RNA", at positions 32 to 361 of the family's 1533-position model. The record is from RNAcentral.
AAUCAACGCUGGCGGCGUGCCUCAGACAUGCAAGUCGAACGAUUAAACUUUCCUUCGGGAAAGAUAUAAAGUGGCGCACGGGUGAGUAACACGUAGGUAAUGUGCCUUUGGGUGGGGAAGUAACUUAGGAACGUUAAGCUAAUACCGCAUAAUGCAGCGGCUCCUUCGGGAGACAGUUGUUAAAGAUUUAUCGCCUAAAGAGCAGCCUGCGGCAGAUUAGCUAGUUGGUAAGGUAACGGCUUACCAAGGCGACGAUCUGUAUCCGACCUGAGAGGGUGGUCGGGACACACUGACACUGAAUAACGGGUCAGACUCCUACGGGAGGGCAGCAGUCGGGAA